GGCAGGCAUCUCUACCCUCUGCCUCUACCUCUGCUAACAAAAGAAUGACUUUGGUCUCUCCCCAGAAAUGAGAGCUGUUUGAAGUGGACGCCGCGGCUACCUACAAUUUGGGAGACCUGCACUGAGUUGGACCCAUCGGAAGAAUUCCAUCCGAUGGGGACGGCUCGGAGCCCAGUGCAGGAGGGAAGCGGUGACUGCCUUUCAGGAGAGGAAAGGCAGGAGCACCACAGGCCACGGCUGUCCACCAUUUUGGAGACCUCCACUGAGUUGG
This is a long non-coding RNA of Thamnophis elegans (Western terrestrial garter snake), 271 nucleotides long. RefSeq lists it as uncharacterized. The transcript is spliced from 3 exons. NCBI's taxonomy places the organism in Eukaryota, Metazoa, Chordata, Lepidosauria, Squamata, Natricidae. The record is from RefSeq and is a predicted model, not a curated record.